RNAcentral lists this ribosomal RNA (253 nucleotides) under uncultured bacterium. RNAcentral describes it as "partial 16S ribosomal RNA". It matches the Rfam family "Bacterial small subunit ribosomal RNA", at positions 524 to 776 of the family's 1533-position model. The record is from RNAcentral.
UACGUAGAGGGCAAGCGUUAUCCGGAUUUACUGGGUGUAAAGGGGGCGCAGACGGCGAUGCAAGCCAGGAGUGAAAGCCCGGGGCCCAACCCCGGGACUGCUCUUGGAACUGCGGCGCUGGAGUACGGGAGGGGCAGGCGGAAUUCCUGGUGUAGCGGUGAAAUGCGUAGAUAUCAGGAGGAACACCGGCGGCGAAGGCGGCCUGCUGGACCGUGACUGACGUUGAGGCUCGAGAGCGUGGGGAGCAAACAGG